This 457-nucleotide ribosomal RNA is filed under the name Polynucleobacter sp. Fw70s-25. Its description in RNAcentral is "bacterial SSU rRNA". It matches the Rfam family "Bacterial small subunit ribosomal RNA", at positions 30 to 479 of the family's 1533-position model. Lineage: Bacteria; Pseudomonadati; Pseudomonadota; Betaproteobacteria; Burkholderiales; Burkholderiaceae. The record is from RNAcentral.
AUUGAACGCUGGCGGCAUGCCUUACACAUGCAAGUCGAACGGCAGCACGGGUGCUUGCACCUGGUGGCGAGUGGCGAACGGGUGAGUAAUAUAUCGGAACGUACCUUAUCGUGGGGGAUAACGCAGCGAAAGCUGCGCUAAUACCGCAUACGCCCUGAGGGGGAAAGCGGGGGACCGUAAGGCCUCGCGCGAUUAGAGCGGCCGAUAUCUGAUUAGCUUGUUGGUGGGGUAAAAGCCCACCAAGGCGACGAUCAGUAGCUGGUCUGAGAGGACGAUCAGCCACACUGGGACUGAGACACGGCCCAGACUCCUACGGGAGGCAGCAGUGGGGAAUUUUGGACAAUGGGGGCAACCCUGAUCCAGCAAUGCCGCGUGAGUGAAGAAGGCCUUCGGGUUGUAAAGCUCUUUUGUCAGGGAAGAAACAGCAGCUCUAACACAAUCUGCGAAUGACGGUACC